Molecule: non-coding RNA, 414 nt
Organism: Cinara cedri
Lineage: Eukaryota; Metazoa; Arthropoda; Insecta; Hemiptera; Aphididae
Source: the annotation of a GenBank genome assembly
GUAAAUAUAUAAUAAUGUAUAAUUAUUAAUCAUUUUAAAAAUUUAAAUAUGUUUGUAUGUAUAUAUAUAUAUAUAUAUAUUAUAUUAUUAUAUUUUUUUCCAAUCGGAUUUUUUUUUACCUAUUUUCUUAUUCUUAUCAUUUCGUAUAACUAAUAAAAAUAUAACGGAAAUUAACUUGAGUCAGGUAGGUAGGUACCUAUAUAUAUCUGAUGUUCACCGCUGCUGUAUGUCUACAAUAGAUUACAAUUACAAGCGAUAAUCAAUAUUAUUUUUUAAAUGAUUUUUGACUAUUAUACAUAUAGUAUAAAAACUGAAUCCGGACCUUUUGCCCAACUUUUUUUAAAACGGACUUUUGGAUUACCACUUAUUUUAUGUCCGUGCACGUAUAAAUAUAGUUUAGUAGAAUAAUUUAUA